This 72-nucleotide transfer RNA is filed under the name Camelus bactrianus (Bactrian camel). It matches the Rfam family "tRNA". Rfam says of the family: Transfer RNA (tRNA) molecules are approximately 80 nucleotides in length. Their secondary structure includes four short double-helical elements and three loops (D, anti-codon, and T loops). The record is from Rfam by way of RNAcentral. Lineage: Eukaryota; Metazoa; Chordata; Mammalia; Artiodactyla; Camelidae. RNAcentral also lists the same sequence under 2 other names.
AUGGGUAUAACUCAGUGGUAGAGCAUAUGCUUAGCAUGCAUGAGAUCGUGGGUUCAAUCCCAACUACCUCUA